RNAcentral lists this unclassified non-coding RNA (625 nucleotides) under Hevea brasiliensis (rubber tree). The record is from RNAcentral. Lineage: Eukaryota; Viridiplantae; Streptophyta; Magnoliopsida; Malpighiales; Euphorbiaceae.
GCCUGUUUUUUUUUUUGAGACAUUGUGAAUUUUUUACAUAUUAGUUAUUUGUUAGAUUGUUUUUGAUGUACUUUGACGGGAUCAAUUUCUUAUUUAUAUUUCUGUAUGAGUCGCGCAUGUUGUUGCUUCAUUUAUGACAUGCUAGUUGUGUGGGUGUUCUGUUUACGUGGGAUGUUGGUUAAUGAGUAUAGCUAAUAAUACUCUCAUUUGUUUACGUAGAUCUGUUACUUCUUAGUUUUCCCUAGUAAAUUUUCUUUAAAUUUCCUUAUUGUGGUUUGUUUCCGUUUCAUUGGAACAAUUGAAAACUUUCAACACUUGUCCAUUAAGUCUUGGAUAGCUUGCUUUAAUGCUCACUUGCCUUAUGUCUCUUUCAUCUCAUAUUUUCUUGUCUCCGUUUGUAGCCUGCUAUGUUGUUUGAAUAUGUUAAAACUUGAUUCAAAACAAGUGACGUCUCUCAUGGUUAGCUUUAUUUUUUUUCUCUACACCACUGUUUGGUUUAUUUUGUUGUUCUUUCUUGGCUGGUUACCAUGCUGCUCGAAUCUUGGCUUAUUUAGUAGCCUAGCGCUUGAGUUAGAAUCGGUUUUCCCGCUCGUCUAAUGUAUAAAUGAGCGUGUUCUGAAUGUUG